GAGAGGGCACAACACAGAAACUGCUAAGUUCUGACCCUGGGGUAAAAAUCCCCAGACCUCUCA
Molecule: transfer RNA, 63 nt
Filed under: Shinisaurus crocodilurus (Chinese crocodile lizard)
Lineage: Eukaryota; Metazoa; Chordata; Lepidosauria; Squamata; Shinisauridae
Description: tRNA-Ser specifying AGY codons
Source: RNAcentral